This 896-nucleotide long non-coding RNA is filed under the name Ananas comosus (pineapple). Its description in RNAcentral is "long non-coding RNA (ACOM_LNC037714)". Lineage: Eukaryota; Viridiplantae; Streptophyta; Magnoliopsida; Poales; Bromeliaceae. The record is from RNAcentral.
UUUUUUUUUUUGAGAGAGAUAGGUAGUACGUUACCCGCUUCGUUUAUUUCAUUUCGAAAUAAACUUAGCUAGAAAUAUGAAUCAACUAGGAUUCGAACUUGGGUUUCGGGUACCAACCACCAAGCCGAUCGAGAAGUGGUUUCAUUCUUAAUCGACAAUAUAAAUCAGGAAUUAAAGAAAUACUUCUGAAUAAGAGCAAAAGUAGCAAAUUAAUUCGAACACUUAACGAUGAAUUACUAGUGAAGUUACCCACGCAUUGCGGCGGAAUGAUACUAUCGGAGAGGCAAAUUCCGAUCUUUACAUCACCUUCAUUGCUAGUGAAAAAAAAAAGUAUGAGAAAAUUUUAUUUUACUCAUUUAUUCUUUUAAAAGCAAUCGAGAGGUGGAAGUUAGGAAGAUGAAGCAUUGGAUAAAGAUGAAACUAUAUAAACACAUUAAUUGAGAGAUGGGGGUUCGAAAAAUGAAGCAUUGGGUGGAGAUGGAAUCAUGUAAACACAUUAAUUGAGAGAUGAGGGUUGGAAAGAUGAAGCAUUGAAGAUGAGACUAUAUAAAUAUAUUAAUUGAGAGGUGGAGGUUAGAAAGAUAAAAUAUUGGGUGGAGAUGGAAGUGGAAAGAGGGAAGCCAACGGUGAAGGAGGAUUUGCCACGUGACAAAAAUUUAGGAGAAAUAAUGUAUAGGUAUAGAAAAUGAGAUCUAUAUAAAUACAUUAAUUGAGAGGUGGAGAUUAGAAAGAUAAAAUAUUGGGUGGAGAUGGUAGUGGAAAGAGGAAAGCCAACAGUAAAGGAGGAUUUGCCACGUGGUAAAAAUUUAGGAGAAGUAAUGUAUAGAUAUAGAUAUAGAUAUAGAUAUAGAUAUAGAUGUUACUCCAAUCAAGUGAUUAUAUAUAGCUUAUAAAUU